This 575-nucleotide ribosomal RNA is filed under the name Lodderomyces parapsilosis. Its description in RNAcentral is "Candida parapsilosis partial large subunit ribosomal RNA". It matches the Rfam family "Eukaryotic large subunit ribosomal RNA", at positions 59 to 650 of the family's 3401-position model. The record is from RNAcentral. Lineage: Eukaryota; Fungi; Ascomycota; Pichiomycetes; Serinales; Debaryomycetaceae.
AAGAAACCAACAGGGAUUGCCUUAGUAGCGGCGAGUGAAGCGGCAAAAGCUCAAAUUUGAAAUCUGGCACUUUCAGUGUCCGAGUUGUAAUUUGAAGAAGGUAUCUUUGGGUCUGGCUCUUGUCUAUGUUUCUUGGAACAGAACGUCACAGAGGGUGAGAAUCCCGUGCGAUGAGAUGUCCCAGACCUAUGUAAAGUUCCUUCGAAGAGUCGAGUUGUUUGGGAAUGCAGCUCUAAGUGGGUGGUAAAUUCCAUCUAAAGCUAAAUAUUGGCGAGAGACCGAUAGCGAACAAGUACAGUGAUGGAAAGAUGAAAAGAACUUUGAAAAGAGAGUGAAAAAGUACGUGAAAUUGUUGAAAGGGAAGGGCUUGAGAUCAGACUUGGUAUUUUGUAUGUUACUCUCUCGGGGGUGGCCUCUACAGUUUACCGGGCCAGCAUCAGUUUGAGCGGUAGGAUAAGUGCAAAGAAAUGUGGCACUGCUUCGGUAGUGUGUUAUAGUCUUUGUCGAUACUGCCAGCUUAGACUGAGGACUGCGGCUUCGGCCUAGGAUGUUGGCAUAAUGAUCUUAAGUCGCCC